This 497-nucleotide ribosomal RNA is filed under the name uncultured bacterium. Its description in RNAcentral is "partial 16S ribosomal RNA". It matches the Rfam family "Bacterial small subunit ribosomal RNA", at positions 28 to 507 of the family's 1533-position model. The record is from RNAcentral.
GAUGAACGCUGGCGGCGUGCCUAAUACAUGCAAGUCGAGCGAACAGAUGAGGAGCUUGCUCCUCUGACGUUAGCGGCGGACGGGUGAGUAACACGUGGAUAACCUACCUAUAAGACUGGGAUAACUUCGGGAAACCGGAGCUAAUACCGGAUAAUAUAUUGAACCGCAUGGUUCAAUAGUGAAAGACGGUUUUGCUGUCACUUAUAGAUGGAUCCGCGCCGCAUUAGCUAGUUGGUAAGGUAACGGCUUACCAAGGCAACGAUGCGUAGCCGACCUGAGAGGGUGAUCGGCCACCCUGGAACUGAGACCCGGUCCCGACUCCUACGGGAGGCAGCAGUAGGGAAUCUUCCGCAAUGGGCGAAAGCCUGACGGAGCAACGCCGCGUGAGUGAUGAAGGUCUUCGGAUCGUAAAACUCUGUUAUUAGGGAAGAACAAAUGUGUAAGUAACUAUGCACGUCUUGACGGUACCUAAUCAGAAAGCCACGGCUAACUACGUG